GACGGACGCUGGCGGCGUGCUUAACACAUGCAAGUCGGACGGAAAGGCCCUGCUUUUGUGGGGUGCUCGAGUGGCGAACGGGUGAGUAACACGUGAGUAACCUGCCCUUGACUUUGGGAUAACUUCAGGAAACUGGGGCUAAUACCGGAUAGGAGCUCCUGCUGCAUGGUGGGGGUUGGAAAGUUUCGGCGGUUGGGGAUGGACUCGCGGCUUAUCAGCUUGUUGGUGGGGUAGUGGCUUACCAAGGCUUUGACGGGUAGCCGGCCUGAGAGGGUGACCGGCCACAUUGGGACUGAGAUACGGCCCAGACUCCUACGAGAGGCAGCAGUGGGGAAUAUUGCACAAUGGGCGGAAGCCUGAUGCAGCAACGCCGCGUGCGGGAUGACGGCCUUCGGGUUGUAAACCGCUUUCGCCUGUGACGAAGCGUGAGUGACGGUAAUGGGUAAAGAAGCACCGGCUAACUACGUG
This 468-nucleotide ribosomal RNA is filed under the name uncultured bacterium. RNAcentral's name for it is "partial 16S ribosomal RNA". It matches the Rfam family "Bacterial small subunit ribosomal RNA", at positions 28 to 507 of the family's 1533-position model. The record is from RNAcentral.